GCAAGUCGAACGGCAGCAGCAGAAAGCUUGCUUUCUGGCUGGCGAGUGGCGGACGGGUGAGUAAUGCGUAGGAAUCUGCCUAGUAGUUAGGGAUAACUUGGGGAAACUCAAGCUAAUACCGAAUGCGACCUAUGGGUGAAAGGAGGGGAUCUUAGGACCUUCCGCUAUUAGAUGAGCCUACGUCAGAUUAGCUUGUUGGUGGGGUAAUGGCCUACCAAGGCGACGAUCUGUAGCUGGUCUGAGAGGAAGAUC
Molecule: ribosomal RNA, 252 nt
Filed under: uncultured bacterium
Lineage: Bacteria
Description: partial 16S ribosomal RNA
Rfam family: Bacterial small subunit ribosomal RNA
Source: RNAcentral